RNAcentral lists this small nuclear RNA (22 nucleotides) under Arabidopsis thaliana (thale cress). RNAcentral's name for it is "snRNA_09142". Lineage: Eukaryota; Viridiplantae; Streptophyta; Magnoliopsida; Brassicales; Brassicaceae. The record is from RNAcentral.
AAGCCCGGGCUUUUGAUACGCU